UCAGUUGACCGGAAGUUAUGAUGUGAUAGGAAAAGUAGUAGUUUGUGUGUCGGUGUGUGCGAUAGUGGUUCCUGAGGCCAUAUUGGUAUCCUGUCCUCAUUCUGGAUGCAGUGCAUCAUGGACCUGACCUGGUAUGUUCCACACUUAGGAGGUAGUUUAUGAUGUGAUAGGAAAAAUAGUAGUUUGUGUGUCGGUGUGUGCGAUAGUGGUUCCUGAGGCCAUAUUGGUAUCCUGUCCUCAUUCUGGAUGCAGUGCAUCAUGGACCUGACCUGGUAUGUUCCACACUUAGGAGUUGACCGGAAGUUAUGAUGUGAAAGGAAAAAUAGUAGUUUGUGUGUCGGUGUGUGCGAUAGUGGUUCCUGAGGCCAUAUUGGUAUCCUGUCCUCAUUCUGGAUGCAGUGCAUCAUGGACCUGACCUGGUAUGUUCCACACUUAGGAGGUAGUUUAUGAUGUGAUAGGAAAAAUAGUAGUUUGUGUGUCGGUGUGUGCGAUAGUGGUUCCUGAGGCCAUAUUGGUAUCCUGUCCUCAUUCUGGA
RNAcentral lists this small RNA (535 nucleotides) under Drosophila yakuba. RNAcentral's name for it is "GE28906". Lineage: Eukaryota; Metazoa; Arthropoda; Insecta; Diptera; Drosophilidae. The record is from RNAcentral.